GCCUGGAUGGCUCAGUUGACAGAGCGUCAGACUUUUAAUCUGAGGGUCUAGGGUUCAAGUCCCUAUUUGGGCA
Anguilla rostrata (American eel) is the source of this 73-nucleotide non-coding RNA. The record is from the annotation of a RefSeq genome assembly. Lineage: Eukaryota; Metazoa; Chordata; Actinopteri; Anguilliformes; Anguillidae.